AUAUGGGACAACUGAACUGAAGAAAGCUCAGAAAAGAAAUAUGACGCCUACGUAGGCAUCACCGUAUAUGCUACUGGGGCUUCAUGACGCCUACAUAGGCGUCACCGUAUUCGAAAUCCUUUCGCUGUAAAUCCUGAUGAGACACCAGAGGAUAUUCAGUUAGAACUAAUUGAUCUUCAGUGUAAUUCUGCGUUGAAGGAAAAGUUCUCAAGUGUUGAUAUUGGUACAUUCUAUCAAUAUGUUGGGCCAAGAUAUCCUCGAAUCAAAUGUUUGACUUCAAAGAUUAUGUCAAUGCUCAGCAGUACCUAUGUCUGUGAGCAACUCUUCUCACUGAUGAACUUGAACAAGUCUGGACUUAGGUGUCGGCUCACUAAUGAACACCUCAACUCAACACUGAAAGUAGCCAUUGCUCAAUCUCUGGCGCCAAACAUAGACGAACUUGUACAGACCAAGAGAUGCCAAGUUUCUGGGAGCAGCACGACCAGGAAUUAAGGUCCACCUACUUCUUGGUGUUGGGAGGUACGGGUGGUGACGAGAGGGAGGAAGGCUUUAUUUUGCAGUCUUACCACAUACACUACUGAUCAAAUCGAAAACUGCACACCCACGAACAGCUGACACAGCCGUGAGAAGCGAGGCUGAUCUUAGCGAAGAGCACAUCCUUUCAUUUUCAUAUGCAAGCACUUCACACGAACUGGCCGUUGUGCUCCCCCCGGCGUUUGUCAGGGAGCUGUGGACUGUGUGUGUGUGUGUGUGUGUACAAGAUUAUCCUUGUGUAGUGUAAAUAACU
This is a long non-coding RNA of Portunus trituberculatus (swimming crab), 787 nucleotides long. RefSeq lists it as uncharacterized. Lineage: Eukaryota; Metazoa; Arthropoda; Malacostraca; Decapoda; Portunidae. The record is from RefSeq and is a predicted model, not a curated record. The transcript has 3 exons.